Molecule: ribosomal RNA, 453 nt
Filed under: uncultured prokaryote
Description: bacterial SSU rRNA
Rfam family: Bacterial small subunit ribosomal RNA
Source: RNAcentral
GAGUUUGAUCCUGGCUCAGGACGAACGCUGGCGGCAUGCCUAACACAUGCAAGUCGAACGGACAUGGCGAGGAUAUAGCGAUAUAUUUUGAGCUAUGUUAGUGGCGAACGGGUGAGUAACACGUGAGCAACCUGCCCUUUACUACGGGAUAACGCUCGGAAACAGGCGGCCUAAUACGGUAUAAGACCACACUUAAUGGCAUCAUAGAGCGGUAAAAGCGAUUUAGCGGUAAAGGAUGGGCUCGCGUCCAAUUAGCUGGUUGGUAGGGUAACGGCCUACCAAGGCGACGAUUGGUAGCCGACCUGAGAGGGUGAUCGGCCACACUGGAACUGAGACACGGUCCAGACUCCUACGGGAGGCAGCAGUGGGGAAUAUUGGGCAAUGGAGGAAACUCUUACCCAGCAAUGCCGCGUGAGCGAAGAAGGUCUUCGGAUUGUAAAGCUCUUUGAUGUA